UACGUAGGGGGCGAGCGUUGUCCGGAGUUACUGGGCGUAAAGGGCGUGCAGGCGGUGCAGUAAGUUUGGAGUGACAGUACCUGGCUUAACUGGGUAAGGACUUUGAAAACUGCUGGACUUGAGGGCCAGAGAGGGACAUAGAAUUCCGGGUGGAGUGGUGAAAUGCGUAGAUAUCCGGAGGAAUACCAAAGGCGAAGGCAGUGUCCUGGCUGGCAUCUGACGCUGAGGCGCGAAAGCUAGGGGAGCGAACAGG
RNAcentral lists this ribosomal RNA (253 nucleotides) under uncultured bacterium. RNAcentral's name for it is "partial 16S ribosomal RNA". It matches the Rfam family "Bacterial small subunit ribosomal RNA", at positions 524 to 776 of the family's 1533-position model. The record is from RNAcentral.